CACCCAGCCUUUAAUCUCACACACACACACCCCAGCCUGAAUCUAGAGACGGCUUCAAUUGCCCAAGGUCUUCUCCCCUGCUUCAGAUAACAGUGCAAUCCUCUCAGAGGCUGAAGACAUUCUUGGCCACAAAGUGUAUGAUUUAAAAUCAAUCCCACAAACAAAGGGCAGAACCUCCCUGUGGGGAAUGUGAUCACCCUCAAUGUGCAGAAGGAGAAACAGCUGCUGGCAACUUGGCGAUUGCUGAGUUUUGAGACUAAGAAAUGACAAGCUUGCUUGAAGCAAGGUAGGUAUUAUAGUAAAAUAAAAUUAAAAGUGUUAUAGUGGCAGGAAAAUGCCUGUGGAAAGUUGAAAAGAGCAUUGCAAAAGACAAUGAGAUUUAAAAAAUAAUGAAAGAUCUCGAUAUUUUGGAGGCAGCCAAUGCAAGUGAAAUAUACUCAGAGUCGCAAAGUGAUUUCAUGCUCUUUAUUCAGCUCAUAGUGGUGAGGAGGAAUGAAUGAAUGUCCCCUCACAGUAUCUGCUUUAUAUACAUUAUUUACACAAUGGGCUGCACAUGAUUGGCUAAUUCUGGAAUUCUACUGUAAGCCAAUCAGGUUGUGGAUUCACUUCUAUCUGGAGCAGGAUUGGGUGGUUCCUGCCAACCAAUCAUACUGCUGCAUUGUUCUAGGACCAAUCAUACUGCUGCAUUCUGAAUCCUAUUGUUCUAGGACCAAUCAGACUGCUGCCUUUUGGAUCCUAUUGUUCUAGGACCAAUCAGACUGCUGCAGUUUGGAUCCUAUUCAACUCAGUACAUAACAGCAAGGUCUCACAAAAGAUGGCAAGCAUUUAGGUGCCCAAAAUCUGCUCCAUAAAAAAUGGUUAAGUAGCAGAAAGCAAUAAGAAUUCAUUAUUUUUUGAAAGUAACAAACCUAACCUACUCAUGCACAGGAGAGUCUCUGCCUUCCCCAACCUGGGAAUCAUAUAAUUUGUAUAACAAUUGAUUGUGAAAAACCUCAGAGCGAUUUACAAAAAGAUAAAAUAAAAUUGAGAAAAAACACAACCCUAAUUUAAAACAUACAAAAGUAAAAAUAUUAAAGCAGAUUAUAAUUACGUCAACUUUCUAAGCAACUGGUAGGCUUAUGUACACAGGACUGUUUUUAGCUGGCGCCAAACUUAUUUAUACAGACCUAUUGUCAGUAGCUGCUUCUAAAACCUGUUUCCUGGAACUGCUGUUCAGGAAGCCAACUGGGCCAGUCAGAACUAAAAGGCGUGGAAGUUCCCUCCCCUCCCCGCCUCUCCUUUCAUUCUUCUCUCUCCUGCCUUCCCCUCUGGCUUGGAACAAAGACUGUAAUUUUAUAAACACCUCUUAUGUCUAUUCUUACUUGUCCUUUCUUCAAAAGAAAAUAACGCUAUGCAAAAAACGCAUAGAAAUUCUUUUUGCUCUCUGGCUAGCUCUCCCUCUCGUCCUCUUCCUGCCAGGAAGGGGAAGGAGGGUCAAAGUAGACUCCCGCCAAUGAUAGCGGCAGGAGGAGCCGCUGGCCGUUGAAGCCUUGCGGUUGCUGCAUUCAGCUCCACCCCCGCUCCUCCUCCUGCUUCUCUGCCAUCCCCUCCCUGCCCACAAAGGGAACUGACCCUACAGCAAUCAGUCAUCUAUUUCCCUCACAAUCUGCAGGUGAGCUGAUAAGACUGAACAUUAACAAGAACACAGAAGGUUGUAAAAGGUCGAACAGUGGUGCAAUUAGGAGAUUAUUGCCUUUGGACUUGAAGGUCUUAAUGGGACACCUGCCCUUAAAGGCAUUGUGUACUAACUACUAUCUGAAGAAGUGUGCAUGCGCACGAAAGCUCAGAUCAAUAGCAAACGUAGUUGGUCUCUAAGGUGCCACUGGAAGGAAUUUUUUUAUUUUGUUUUAACUACGAUCUUAUCACUUCUGCUUCUGCUCAUUCUGCUGAGUGGGAUCUUUGACUUCUGCCUCAACGUGGAACAAACAGCCUAAAGAUCAACUUAGCCAGGAGCCUGAAAACGCUGUUUUGAACUCGUUAAUCUUAGCAAAUAUUUAACAAGUAAACAUUAAGCUUUCAACCCAAAAUACAGUUUAAGUCAGUACAAAAGUGCUAGGGUUUUUCCAUGCAGGAAACUCUCCAGGACACUCAUUAGCAGUGCUUUUUUUCCUGGGGGACACACAUACCCCUAAACAUUUUGUGAAUCCAAAUUUGGCCUCAUUGAGAGACAGUAUUUCAAUAUGAGUAGGAAAGUGAGAGUACCCUUGAACAUUUCUUUAGAAACACAGCAUUGCUCAUAAGCAUACUUAAAAGGUAAAGGACCCUGACAGUUAAGUCCAGUCGCAAACGACUCUGGGGUUGUGGCGCUCAUCUCGCUUUAUUGGCCGAGGGAGCCGGUGGUACAGCUUCUGGGUCCUGUGACCAGCAUGACUAAGCCGCUUCUGGCGAACCAGAGCAGAACACGGAAACGCCGUUUACCUUCCCGCUGGAGCGGUACCUAUUUACCAGUAUCUACUUGCACUUUGACGUGCUUUCAAACUGCUAGGUGGGCAGGAGCUGGGACCGAGCAAUGGGAGCUCACCCCAUUACAGGGAUUCGAACCGCGACCUUCCGAUCGGCAAGCCCUAGGCUCAGUGGUUUAGACCACAGCGCCAUCCGCAUACCUCAUGAGCAUACUUACCCAGCAGCAUUUUUGCUUGAGUAGUACCUGUGUAGUUAUUCUGGCUCAGCACUGCUCUGGAAAGGUGAAACACAGUGGGUAGAAUUGGGUAUGUGUCAAGGUGAUCAUUCCAUCAGCACAAACAUUUUCAGAUGGAAUUCCCCCUCCCCAGAUGGAAAUAUCUCCCCUCCCCUCCUCCAUGCACGAUGUUCUAGUGUUCACUUGACACCUCAGAAAUGAUUUGGAGUGGGGGGGGGGCAUGUGGGGCAUGUGGAAAGAAAAUACCUACAGCAGUACCUCGGGUUAAGAACUUAAUUUGUUCUGGAGGUCCGUUCUUAACCUGAAGCUGUUCUUAACCUGAGGUACCACUUUAGCUAAUGGGAUUUUUGCAUUCUACACGAAAUGUCCAGGUUUAGAGAUAUACCACACACACACACACACACACACACACACACAUAUAUGGGUUCUUUUGAGGGGCACGCACAUGCCACUGAAGAGUGGAAGAGGGCAAGCGCUUUUCAGGGCCUGCCACUCUCCACCCCCUUCACGCACGGCCUGGAAGUGCCACAACGGGGUCUGCAACACCACCACUGCCAGUGCUGCCAUUUUGCCGCCAGCACCAAGGCUCCAAGCCACCAAAUUGCCCGGCAUGUGCCACUUCUGUCAAGCCGGUGGAGACCUUGCCGUACCGCUUCUCCCGACGCUCCCAGAGGGCAGUGAAGGAGGAUGACUGGAGAAAGGUAGGUUAGGUGGGGCAGGGAGGGGGCGGGAGACAGAGAUGUGGGAUGGGGAGGGGAGGGGGAGUGCCCCGAAUGCGUCUGGGUUUUUGCAGCUCAGAAGAUGGGAACCCUAACAUUGGUUUCUCAACACCUGCAAUCCAAGCCCAGGAAGGAAAUUACGCAUCAUUGCAUGAACAGGUUCUGAAAUCAUGCUUCUAUUUUCAUCUCUUUCAGCUGGGCUGACCAGAUUAUGCGCACCACCUGGAGUACAUCAAUGUUAGUUUUGAUCUCUUUGUUCCCAGACAUCUGUUUAAUUUUGAGGUGGGUAGUCUUGUCAACGCUAACAUCAUGUGAACAUAAAGCAGCUUUUACUCCGUUUGGUAAUGCUUCAUAUGUAGACACAGGAGAGAAUAAAUACUCAACUAAGCCUCCCCCAACCCCAUGUUGCUGGGAGAGAUAAUGAAGGGAAAAUAUUACACACCCCUCCUGACAUUAACUCCUCUCCUGAUUCUCAUCAUUGUGUGAUAAUGAUACCAUCUAGUAAUACUGAGAAACCAGUCUUAUAACUGAUUACGAUAAGUAGGACUAGUUUCUCGGCAGCCUUAUGAACGCAUCAUGUAUUUUUGAAUCUAUAAUGUGAUUAUUAUUUUUAAUUAUAAAUUUUUAUUAGUUUUCAGUUUUGUUGUUGUUGUUGUUGUUUAGUCGUUUAGUCAUGUCCGACUCUUCGUGACCCCAUGGACCAGAGCACGCCAGGCACUCCUAUCUUCCACUGCCUCCCGCAGUUUGGUCAACCUCAUGCUGGUAGCUUUGAGAACACUGUCCAACCAUCUCGUCCUCUGUCAUCCCCUUCUCCUUGUGUCGUCCAUCUUUCCCAACAUCAGGGUCUUUUCCAGGGAGUCUUCUCUUCUCAUGAGGUGGCCAAAGUAUUGGAGCCUCAGCUUCAGGAUCUGUCCUUCCAGUGAGCACUCAGGGCUGAUUUCCUUAAGAAUGGAUACGUUUGAUCUUUUUGCAGUCCAUGGGACUCUCAAGAGUCUCCUCCAGCACCAUAAUUCAAAAGCAUCAAUUCUUCGGCGAUCAGCCUUCUUUAUGGUCCAGCUCUCACUUCAAUUACAUUCCAAUAAUAGCCUCAUUAUAACAGUACCAAUUUAUAAUACAAUUAUUAAUGCUAAUCGUUCAAACUUGGCACAAAGACUGUAAUUUUAUAAACAUCUCUAACGUCUAUUCUUAAUUGCCUUGUCUCCAAAAAAACAAAACCGCUAUGUAAAAAUCGCACAGAAAUACUUUCUGCUCUCUGGCGUUGCAUGAUUAUAACGCAUUCAAAACAUUGUUUUGACUAAUGAAGCUGAGUCCUUGGUCUCUUCAAAACUCUUAGCAGUUUUGUACAGCCUAAUUUCCAGCCGGUGGUGGGUGCAGGACGCCCCGGGUGUCACCACUGAGGGGAGUGACAAAAUGCUGGGCAGCACUCACUGCGGGGUUAGGGCUACAGCUUAGGGCUCCACUCUCUUGGGGGCCCCCCAAAAAUUUAAAGGGGAAAAAACUGGAUGUACUUUGAUAAAAUACAUAUUUUGUUAUGUGCAAAUGGCUUUGGAUACCUAUUAUCUAUAAAUUGCCAUAUAGCAUAUAUUCAACACAAAAAACAGCAACAAUUUGUUGCUGACAAAGGAUCGCUGGACAUAUAAAGGGCCCCAUUACCUUUAGUAGCUUAGGGCCUCAUCAAACCCAAAUCCGGCCCUGCUUAUGGCAUAUAUGCCUUAUGCCUUAUGGCAUAUAUGUCUAAUGCCCCAUUACCUUCAGUAGCUUAGGGGCUCAUCAAACCUAAAUCCGGCCCUGUUUGCAGCAAGCCAAAUGUUUAUUCUGGAACUGCUGUUAGUUUGUUUGAAACCAACAGGGCAAGCCAGAACAAAAGGGGUGGAAUUUCCCUCCUCCCCUCCCCUUCAUUUUUCUUUGUCUCACCUUCCCCUCUGGCUUGGCAUGAGGGCUGCUCCUGGGAGCCAAACCGUUUUGGGCCCCCUAAAUAUUUUUAGGGGAUCGGGACCAGGUCCCCCAAUGUCCCAAAAGUGUGGAAGCAAAACACGGAGGGGGUGGAACACCGCUUGAUUGUAAAAACAAAAACCCUGGGAGCGGUUUACAAAAAUAUAAAACAAUAAAACCUGGGGCGGGCAGGCAUGGGAACAGCCCUCAUUUAAAACAUAUAAAAGUUAAAACAAUAAAACAGAUUAUAAUGUUUUUAGCUGGUGCCAAAUUUCCUUAUACAGGCUUGUUGGCAGCAGCUGCUACUAAAUUUCCUGGAUUUCUGGAAUUGGAACUGAUUUCCUGGAAUUGUUACUGCAGUAGUUGGUUUGAAGCCAACCGGGAAGCCAGAACCAGAAGGGGUGGGAUUUCCUUCCUUGCUUCUCCUUUUCCCCUGAAUUCCCGUCUGGUUCAGCAUGAGGACUGUUUAUUAAAAUGAGCUUCAUAAGAAUAUAAGAACAUCCAAAGAGCCCAGCUGAUCAGGCCAUGGGCAAAUGGAGUCCAGCACCCUGUUCUUACAGGGGCCACCCAGAUGCCUGAGGAAAACUCACAAGAGCGCUCUGCCUGUCUGCAGUUUCCAGAAACUCAGAAGGAGGCAAAGCACAGACCUCAUGGCUAGUAGCUCUCAAUAGCCCUCUCCCCCACGAACCUUUCUCGCCCUCUUUUGAAGCCAUCCAAGUGGGGGAUCAUCACUGCCUCCUGGGCGAAAGAGCGCCAUAGUUUAACCAUGCGCUGGAUGAAGACGAACUUUGUUUUCUCCUGAAUUUUCCAAUGUUCAGCUUCCAUGGAUGUUUCCGUGGAGUUCUGGUGUUAUGAGAGAGGGAGAAAAACUUCUUUCUCUCCACUUUCUAUGAGGCUCAUUCUAUCUUGCAUAAUUAUUCUUUUUGCCUCCUUUUGGGAUUAAUCCAGCAGCCAGUUUCUGCAGUUUCUGAUGCUGGCAAAGCCUUCAAGACGACUGCUCCUUGGGAGAAAGGCGAUGGCAAACCUAGACAGGAUCAUUAAAAGCAGAGACAUCACCUUACCAACAAAGGUCUGUGUAGUUCAAGCCAUGGUUUUCCCAGUAGUGAUGUAUGGUAGAAUUAUGAUGCUGGAGGAGACUCUUGAGAUUCCCAUGGACUGCAAAAAGAUCAAACGUAUCCAUUCUUAAGGAAAUCGGCCCUGAGUGCUCACUGGAAGGACAGAUCCUGAAGCUGAGGCUCCAAUACUUUGGCCACCUCAUGAGAAGAGAAGACUCCCUGGAAAAGACCCUGAUGCUGGGAAAGAUGGAGAGCACAAGGAGAAGGGGACGACAGAGGACGAGAUGGUUGGACAGUGUUCUCGAAGCUACAAACAUGAGUCUGACCAAACUGCGGGAGGUAGUGGAAGAUAGGAGUGCCUGGCGUGCUCUGGUCCAUGGGGUCAUGAAGAGUCAGACACGGCUAAAUGACUAAACAACAACAUAACAAUACCAAUUUAUAAUACAACCAACUAAUCAAGGCAAGGCAAGGCAUUUGGGAAGCUCCUAUUCCACGCCUAGCUUUCCUCCAGUUUCCAUGCCUACUUAAAUAGCCUUUUUUUGUUCUGAGGAAAGGAGCUGAAACGCGCAAAAGCUCAUGUCUGCCAAAAUGCCUUGUUGAUUUUUGACUCCGAGAAAUGCUUCGAAUUCUUUGCAUCUGUGGUCAGCGAUUCCACUUUGUGGGAAGGCGUUGCUAUUUCCUUUUUGCUAUCCUUUUUUAUUAUUAUUAUAUACUUUUUUUUGCUUUAAACAAAUACAUAUAAAUAUAUUUAUAUGUAUUUGCUAUCCUUUUUGUCUAUUGAGAUCGGUUGCAUCCGUGGCUCAGAAAUGAGUGAAGCGCGUGCAGAAACCAGGUGCUUUUUUUUUCUUUAAAAAUGUUUAGGGGUACUGUCAUUUUCCUACUCAUAUUGAAAUACUGCCCCUCAAUGAGGCCAAACUUAGAUCCACAAAAUGUUUAGGGGUAUGCUUGCCCCUGCGUCCCCCCAGAAAAAAAGCACUGCAGAAACCCAUCAACUCAUAUGGCUUCAAAGGAGUUUAGACAAACUUAUAUGGCUGUAAUUGCUACUGGACCAUUUUCAUGUUUUUAUUUAUUUAUUUCGACUGCGUCAGACGAACAUGGCUACCUACCUGAAUCUUAUAUGGCUGUGUUCAGUUUCCACUGCAGCCUCUGAAUGCCAGUUUCUGAACACCAGUUUCUGGAAAUCACAAGGCUUGCCAGAGGCAUCUAGUUGGCCACUGUGAGAACAGGAUGCUGGACUAGAUGAGCUAUUAUUGGCCUGAUCCAGCGGGACUUAAAAAAAAAUCUUAAGAAAGAUUUAAGGAAGAGAGGGGCGUUCUUUUGUCCUUUAUCUUAUCUUGAGGCUGCAGGUUCAAAGCAGGAAACGCAUUGAAUUUCCUGACCACCUUCCCCCCCUUCCUUCCCCCCUAGACUGCAAGAAGAUCAAACGUGUCCAUUCUUAAGGAAAUCAGCCCUGAGUGCUCACUGGAAGGACAGAUCCUGAAGCUGAGGCUCCAAUACUUUGGCCACCUCAUGAGAAGAGAAGACUCCCUGGAAAAGACCCUGAUGCUGGGAAAGAUGGAGAGCACAAGGAGAAGGGGACGACAGAGGACGAGAUGGUUGGACAGUGUUCUCGAAGCUACAAACAUGAGUCUGACCAAACUGCGGGAGGUAGUGGAAGAUAGGAGUGCCUGGCGUGCUCUGGUCCAUGGGGUCACGAAGAGUCAGACACGGCUAAAUGACUAAACAACAACAUAACAAUACCAAUUUAUAAUACAAUUACUAAUCGUUCAAAUGCCAAAUUGUAUAAUUUAGAUAAAGUGCCGCCCCCCAUGUGCUAGAUUUGACGGUUUGAUGAUUUUCUUUAUUUCUUCAUUCCAAAAUCUCAUUAGUUUCAAUUACAUUCUGGUCAUAAUAAUAAUAAUAAUCCCAUAUAAUGUGAUUUUGAAUCAUGUGAAAUCAGCAGGACCCCAACAUUUUAAGAGGGCAAAUUGGGAUACCUCACACCAUCUCACCACCCCACUGCUCACGCCCACCAACACCCACCCCUCCCUUCCCUGCCCACAUACUCACUCCCUCCACCUUCAAACCUUUGCUGUCCUCCUCCUCUGUGGCUGCAACCUCCUCCUCCAUGGCCAUGGCCUCCUCCCCAUCCCCGGCCAGCAUGGCCUCCCAGAGGCGCUUUGGCACGACCCUUUGAUGACCCUUUGAUGAUUGCCAAAGCAAUCCCAGAAGGUGGUCUGGUGCUCAUCCGCAGGGUCAGAUGCAGCCUUCCUGACUCAUGCCAAGGUGCUAGUCUUCAUGGGAUAUUCCGGGAUCAAAACAGAAGCUGGGAUUGGCUUCUGUGAUCCACAAUAUCCAGCUUAAAAUGUGUCAGUUGUGGGGUAAAAGGUAAAGGACCCCAGGAUGGUUAAGUCCAGUCAAAGGCGACUGUGGGGUUACGGCUCUCAUCUCGCUUUCAGGCCAAGGGAGCCGGCGUUUGUCCAUAGACAGCUUUUGGGUCAUGUGGCUAGCAUGACUAAACCACUUCUGGUGCAGUGGGACACCGUGAUGGAAAUCACAGUGCAUGGAAACGCCAUUUACCUUCCUGCCGCAGCAGUACCUAUUUAUCUACCCAUGCUGGUGUGCUUUCAAACUGCUAGGUUGGCAGGAGCUGGGAUGGAGCAACGGGAUCUCACCCCGUCGCAGGGAUUCAAACUGCCAACCUUCCGAUCAGCAACUCCAAGAGGCUCAGUGGUUUAGACCAGGCACAUCCAACUCCCAAGGGACUGCGAUCUACUCAAAGUAUAAAAAGGCUGUGAUCUACCCAUUGUCAUUGCCAGUAGUUAAGUUGUUAUGAUUUUGGGGAGGGAAGCCAAAGUUGUUGAGCUUCUUUUGCAAAGUAUUCGCCAGGUUGGUUUUAGGAGAAGGAGUGUGUUAAAUCAGUCGCUCAACAGUCAGCUCACCUCCUGCCUUCCCAAACUCUGCCACCCAGGCAAGGAAAUAAACCUCUCAAAGCGGGGGCGGGGCACGUAGCAAUCGCUUAAGAGCAACAGGGAGAUCACUUACAAAACUACAGCGAUUGACCUAGGACACCCCCGCGAUCGACCGGUAGAUUGCGAUCGACCUCUUGGACAUCUCUGGUUGAGACCACAGAGCCAUCCGCUCCCCUAGUUGUGGGGCAUGCCUGACUAGCCCUCAGGGCUCUCCAUAGGCCAUCUCCCCCCUCCAACCCACACCACUGUCACUCCACACCUUCCUCAAGUCUGGCUGAAAUGUUGGAGUGCAGCUGUCAGUCAGUGUGGAAAAUACUGAGGUAGACGGAUCAAUUUGCCUGGCUCUGUAAAAGUCAGCUUCCUGUAAGCCACCUCACGCUGCUCCUUUCAACUUCCAUUUUUGAAAGUUGUAAGGGACUGCGGAGUCUGCUUCUGAGAACAGCCGUGGGGAGGAGAGGUGGCUUCCAUGGGAUGCGAAAUGGAAAAUGCAAGACCUUUUCUUAAAAGAGACAGAUGCAAGACAGGCACCAUUUUGAUUUGCUUAUGCAGUGCUUGCUAUGGCUAGUAUGUGCCAUAGGCAAGAGCGAAAGAGAGAGAAGGGGGGGGGGGGAGUCGAGGCCUUUUUUAGUUUAUGGAAAAAAGAGAGAGAAGUGCUUUUUCUACAGGAAGUGGUUAUGCAGAUGUUUCCUGUGUAAUCGAUAUGAAGAGCAUCGUGAUUAGCUAGAGUGGUUAGAAUGACAUUAAAGGAGUGGUGUUUAUCUGCAGGUGUAAAACUCUGUGGAGGCACAACACAGGGUGCAACCCAAAAUAACCCUUUUGUUUUGUUUGUCUUGUCUUGUUUGUCAGCUGUCAUGAUGCACCUUGAAAUAAAAUCUGAAUCUAUUUAAAAUCUGAAUCUAUUUGAAAGCAGUGCUUUCUCAUCAUUGCUGGGACUGAGUGACUCCGUUGUGCUCGAACCUCUU
This 10296-nucleotide long non-coding RNA is filed under the name Podarcis lilfordi (Lilford's wall lizard). The record is from RNAcentral. Lineage: Eukaryota; Metazoa; Chordata; Lepidosauria; Squamata; Lacertidae.